RNAcentral lists this ribosomal RNA (1095 nucleotides) under Triticum aestivum (bread wheat). Its description in RNAcentral is "partial small subunit ribosomal RNA". The record is from RNAcentral. Lineage: Eukaryota; Viridiplantae; Streptophyta; Magnoliopsida; Poales; Poaceae.
AUGUCGGCACUCAUGCAACAAAAGGAGCUCGCCAUGAGCACCGAUGAGUUGCUCCAAGCUCAGGUGGAGCUCUACCACCACUCUUUCGCCUUCGUCAAAUCACUGGCGCUCAAGGCCGCCACAGACCUAUGCAUCCCGGAUGCCAUCCAGCACCUCGGAGGCGCCGCCACCUUGUCAGACCUCGCCGCCGAAACCGGGAUCCACCCCACGAAGCUCUCCAACCUCCGACGCCUCAUGCGCGUGCUCACCACCUCCGGAGUCUUCUCCGUCACCGGUGAUCAUGCCGGCGCUGUGUACAAGCUCACCCGUGUCUCCCGCCUCCUCGUCGUCGACAGAGCUGGCGGGCGCACCCACCUGUCCCCCGUGGUGUCCGCGUUUGUGAGCCCGUACCCCGUGACCACGCUCUUCAGCAUGCGCGAGUGGUUCACCGACGAGCGGGCGGCGGCCAUGUCGCUGUUCGAGGUGGCGCACGGCUGCACACUGUGGGAGGCUGCGGCAAUGGACGGCACCGCGUUCAACGCUGCCAUGGCCGCCGACAGCCGCUUCACUAUGGAGAACCUCCUCCGGGAGUGCGGCAGUGUGUUCGAAACCGUGAGGGGCUCACUGGUUGACGUCGGUGGCGGCCAUGGCGCCGCUGCUGCGGCCAUCGCGAGAGCGUUCCCACACGUCAAGUGCACCGUGCUGGACCUCCCCCACGUGGUCGCCACGGCUCCUACCGAUGACAAAUUGACCUUCGUUGGCGGUGAUAUGUUUGACAACGUCCCACCAGCUGACGCUGUUCUUCUUAAGUGGGUUUUGCAUGACUGGCAACACGAAGAUUGCGUCAAAAUAUUGCGACGGUGCAAAGAAGCCAUCCCGGCGAGGAACGUGGGAGGAAAGGUGAUAAUCGUGGAUACAGUGAUUGGAUCUGCAGGGUCACAGCAGGGCAUCGCCUCCAAGGAGACUGAGGUUUUGUUCGACGUCUUCAUGAUGGCCGCAGACGGGGUCGAGCGAGAGGAGCACGAAUGGAGCAAGAUUUUCAUUGAAGCCGGAUUCACUGACUACAAGAUUACACCGACGAUGGGGCUUCGUUCAAUCAUUGAACUGUAUCCAUGA